UGGGGAAUUUUGGACAAUGGGCGCAAGCCUGAUCCAGCAAUGCCGCGUGCAGGAUGAAGGCCUUCGGGUUGUAAACUGCUUUUGUACGGAGCGAAAAGGUCUGCCCUAAUACGGUGGGCUCAUGACGGUACCGUAAGAAUAAGCACCGGCUAACUACGUGCCAGCAGCCGCGGUAAUACAGAGGGUGCGAGCGUUAAUCGGAUUUACUGGGCGUAAAGCGUGCGUAGGCGGCUUUUUAAGUCGGAUGUGAAAUCCCCGAGCUUAACUUGGGAAUUGCAUUCGAUACUGGGAAGCUAGAGUAUGGGAGAGGAUGGUAGAAUUCCGGGUGUAGCAGUGAAAUGCGUAGAUAUGCGGAGGAACACCGAUGGCGAAGGCAAUCCCCUGGACCUGUACUGACGCUCAUGCACGAAAGCGUGGGGAGCAAACA
RNAcentral lists this ribosomal RNA (427 nucleotides) under uncultured bacterium. RNAcentral's name for it is "bacterial SSU rRNA". It matches the Rfam family "Bacterial small subunit ribosomal RNA", at positions 355 to 774 of the family's 1533-position model. The record is from RNAcentral.